RNAcentral lists this ribosomal RNA (809 nucleotides) under uncultured bacterium. RNAcentral describes it as "bacterial SSU rRNA". It matches the Rfam family "Bacterial small subunit ribosomal RNA", at positions 8 to 804 of the family's 1533-position model. The record is from RNAcentral.
AGAGUUUGAUCCUGGCUCAGGAUGAACGCUAGCUACAGGCUUAACACAUGCAAGUCGAGGGGCAGCAUGAAAGGAACUUCGGUUCUUUUUGAUGGCGACCGGCGCACGGGUGCGUAACGCGUAUCGAACCUGCCUCAUACUCGGGGAUAGCCUUGCGAAAGUAAGAUUAAUACCCGGCGGUCUCGGAUGGCCGCAUGACUGUCCGAGUGAAGAUUUAUCGGUAUGAGAUGGCGAUGCGUCCCAUUAGCUUGUUGGUGAGGUAAUGGCUCACCAAGGCAUCGAUGGGUAGGGGUUCUGAGAGGAAGGUCCCCCACAUUGGAACUGAGACACGGUCCAAACUCCUACGGGAGGCAGCAGUGAGGAAUAUUGGUCAAUGGACGAAAGUCUGAACCAGCCAAGUAGCGUGCAGGAAGACGGCCCUAUGGGUUGUAAACUGCUUUUAUAAGGGAAUAAAGUGAGCCUCGUGAGGCUUUUUGCAUGUACCUUAUGAAUAAGGACCGGCUAAUUCCGUGCCAGCAGCCGCGGUAAUACGGAAGGUCCGGGCGUUAUCCGGAUUUAUUGGGUUUAAAGGGAGCGUAGGCCGGAGAUUAAGCGUGUUGUGAAAUGUAGACGCUCAACGUCUGCACUGCAGCGCGAACUGGUUUCCUUGAGUACGCACAAAGUGGGCGGAAUUCGUGGUGUAACGGUGAAAUGCUUAGAUAUCACGAAGAACUCCGAUUGCGAAGGCAGCUCACUGGAGCGCAACUGACGCUGAAGCUCGAAAGUGCGGGUAUCGAACAGGAUUAGAUACCCUGGUAGUCCGCACGGUA